RNAcentral lists this ribosomal RNA (253 nucleotides) under uncultured bacterium. RNAcentral's name for it is "partial 16S ribosomal RNA". It matches the Rfam family "Bacterial small subunit ribosomal RNA", at positions 524 to 776 of the family's 1533-position model. The record is from RNAcentral.
UACGGAGGAUGCGAGCGUUAUCCGGAUUUAUUGGGUUUAAAGGGUGCGCAGGCGGCCUGUUAAGUCAGCGGUAAAAGCCCGGGGCUCAACCCCGGCGAGCCGUUGAAACUGGCGGGCUGGAGUUGGAGAGAAGUACGCGGAAUGCGCGGUGUAGCGGUGAAAUGCUUAGAUAUCACGCAGAACUCCGAUUGCGAAGGCAGCAUACCGGCGCCCUACUGACGCUGAGGCACCGAAAGCGUGGGUAUCGAACAGG